GCAAGUAUUUCAAGUGUGGCCUACCAGGACAUCUUAUCCGGGAGUGCCCGACAUGGACGUCGUCUGCGCCGACGGCGGCAUCAGCACCGUCUACCCCGAGACAGCUUGCGGGGUUACCACCAGCGAUGUCGGCUGGGCGCGCAUCAUCACCGCGUCAGCCAGAGGGAUCGAGAGCGCCUAGCGGCAGAGUCUUUGCCGCUCAGGUGGAGGAGCAACAACCUGCAGCACCCGACGACGUCGUGGCAGGUAUAAUUGUGAUUAAAGGCACUAGAGCUAGAGCAGUGUUUGAUACAGGCGCAUCUCAUUCGUUUAUUAGCAC
RNAcentral lists this long non-coding RNA (319 nucleotides) under Ananas comosus (pineapple). RNAcentral describes it as "long non-coding RNA (ACOM_LNC039818)". The record is from RNAcentral. Lineage: Eukaryota; Viridiplantae; Streptophyta; Magnoliopsida; Poales; Bromeliaceae.